Molecule: long non-coding RNA, 204 nt
Filed under: Capsicum annuum
Lineage: Eukaryota; Viridiplantae; Streptophyta; Magnoliopsida; Solanales; Solanaceae
Description: long non-coding RNA (CANN_LNC017445)
Source: RNAcentral
UAUAGAUACUAUUCGAGCCUAACACAUCGGAUCAUUGUUAAGUUCACUUCCAGUAUUUGUAGUCAUGUACUCCGUUCACAGUUUCCAACAAAGAGUGUAUCAUGAUCCACUUUUGAUUGUUGAAUGCACCUUAUGCCAUUAUUUUUAUCCCUUUUAGUAAGCGUAAUCAUAUUAUUUAGCUAUAGUUUUUGGGUAAAAGGUGCA